CGAAAGCCUGACGGAGCAAUACCGCGUGAGGGAGGAAGGCUCUAGGGUUGUAAACCUCUUUUCUCAGGGAAGAACAAAAUGACGGUACCUGAGGAAUAAGCAUCGGCUAACUCCGUGCCAACAGCCGCGGUAAUACGGAGGAUGCAAGCGUUAUCCGGAUUUAUUGGGCGUAAAGCGUCCGCAGGUGGCAGUUCAAGUCUGCUGUCAAAGGUCGGGGCUCAACCCCGAACAGGCAGUGGAAACUGAACAGCUAGAGUACGGUAGGGGCAGAGGGAAUUCCCAGUGUAGCGGUGAAAUGCGUAGAGAUUGGGAAGAACACCGGUGGCGAAGGCGCUCUGCUAGGCCGAAACUGACACUCAUGGACGAAAGCUAGGGGAGCGAAUGGGAUUAGAU
This 393-nucleotide ribosomal RNA is filed under the name uncultured bacterium. Its description in RNAcentral is "bacterial SSU rRNA". It matches the Rfam family "Bacterial small subunit ribosomal RNA", at positions 376 to 783 of the family's 1533-position model. The record is from RNAcentral.